RNAcentral lists this ribosomal RNA (1090 nucleotides) under Bacillus sp. (in: firmicutes). Its description in RNAcentral is "bacterial SSU rRNA". It matches the Rfam family "Bacterial small subunit ribosomal RNA", at positions 401 to 1503 of the family's 1533-position model. Lineage: Bacteria; Bacillati; Bacillota; Bacilli; Caryophanales; Bacillaceae. The record is from RNAcentral.
AAGUCAGAAAGUUUCCGAUUGAAAUUUAUUUGUAGGUACGAAAAGAUCCAAAUGAUUAAGCGGACCCUGGCCGGUACCUACCCAAAAGCCCGGGCUAGCUACGUCCCCGCAACUGGGUAAUCAGUAGGUGGCAAGCGUUAUCCGAAUUUUGGGCGUAAAGCGCGGCAGGUGGUUUCUUAAGUCUGAUGGAAAGCCCACGGCUCACCGUGGAGGGUCAUUGGAACUGGGAGACUUGAGUGCAGAAGAGGAAAGUGGAAUUCCAUGUGUAGCGGUGAAAUGCGUAGAGAUAUGGAGGAACACCAGUGGCGAAGGCGACUUUCUGGUCUGUAACUGACACUGAGGCGCGAAAGCGUGGGGAGCAACCAGGAUUAGAUACCCUGGUAGUCCACGCCGUAAACGAUGAGUGCUAAGUGUUAGAGGGUUUCCGCCCUUUAGUGCUGAAGUUAACGCAUUAAGCACUCCGCCUGGGGAGUACGGCCGCAAGGCUGAAACUCAAAGGAAUUGACGGGGGCCCGCACAAGCGGUGGAGCAUGUGGUUUAAUUCGAAGCAACGCGAAGACCCUUACCAGGUCUUGACAUCUUCUGACAACCCUAGAGAUAGGGCUUCUCCUUCGGGAGCAGAGUGACAGGUGGUGCAUGGUUGUCGUCAGCUCGUGUCGUGAGAUGUUGGGUUAAGUCCCGCAACGAGCGCAACCCUUGAUCUUAGUUGCCAUCAUUCAGUUGGGCACUCUAAGGUGACUGCCGGUGACAAACCGGAGGAAGGUGGGGAUGACGUCAAAUCAUCAUGCCCCUUAUGACCUGGGCUACACACGUGCUACAAUGGACGGUACAAAGAGCUGCAAGCCCGCGAGGUGGAGCUAAUCUCAUAAAACCGUUCUCAGUUCGGAUUGUAGGCUGCAACUCGCCUACAUGAAGCUGGAAUCGCUAGUAAUCGCGGAUCAGCAUGCCGCGGUGAAUACGUUCCCGGGCCUUGUACACACCGCCCGUCACACCACGAGAGUUUGUACCACCCGAAGUCGGUGGGGUAACCUUUGGAGCCAGCCGCCUAAGGUGGACAGAUGAUUGGGGGAAGUCGUAACAAGACUAGGGC